GAUCUUCAGUUUAUCUCAACACUUUGAUCUUACAAAAGUGCAGUGAGUCUGAUGGGCAUGUCUGGACAGGACUACCAGCCCCAUGGGCUUUUUGAAGGUGGAUGAGUGUCAAAUUAUUGUCUGCAUCUGAGAAGGCAGGGGCAUUCUUUUCAGACUCAUCCUGGUUUAAUAGUAUGCUAUCAAACACCCCUGAUACUAUAAUUUGUCCAUAAGAUCCAUCAUUAAUUCCACUCCUGCAGGAUGCAAACAGGACUGCUACCUCUCCUGCAGCGUUGCAACAGAUGAGGCAGGAAAAGCGCCCGAGAGCUCUCCUUGGCCUUUUCUCCUCCCAUCUCCUCAACGUACAAAGGGGCUCUGUGAUUGGCUGCAUCUCUGCGACGCGGACCUACGAUGUAAUGAUCCUGUCACCUCAAUAUGUUUUCAUGUUAUGCAUAAAAAACUAA
Molecule: long non-coding RNA, 443 nt
Organism: Notolabrus celidotus (New Zealand spotty)
Lineage: Eukaryota; Metazoa; Chordata; Actinopteri; Labriformes; Labridae
Exons: 2
Source: RefSeq, a predicted model, not a curated record